UACGUAGGGGUCGAGCGUUGUCCGGAAUUAUUGGGCGUAAAGAGCUCGUAGGCGGUUUGUCGCGUCUGCCGUGAAAGUCCGGGGCUCAACUCCGGAUCUGCGGUGGGUACGGGCAGACUAGAGUGAUGUAGGGGAGACUGGAAUUCCUGGUGUAGCGGUGAAAUGCGCAGAUAUCAGGAAGAACACCGAUGGCGAAGGCAGGUCUCUGGGCAUUAACUGACGCUGAGGAGCGAAAGCAUGGGGAGCGAACAGG
Molecule: ribosomal RNA, 253 nt
Filed under: uncultured bacterium
Lineage: Bacteria
Description: partial 16S ribosomal RNA
Rfam family: Bacterial small subunit ribosomal RNA
Source: RNAcentral